GAAAUGCGAUAAGUAGUGUGAAUUGCAGAAUUCAGUGAAUCAUCGAAUCUUUGAACGCACAUUGCGCCCUUUGGUAUUCCUUAGGGCAUGCCUGUUCGAGCGUCAUCUAAACCUUCAAGCCCUGCUUGGUGUUGGGUGCCUGUCCCGCCUCCGCGAGCGGACUCACCUCAUAUCCAUUGGCGGCCCCCGCGUCGGCCACGAGCGCAGCAGAAACGCGAACUCGUGAGCCCGUCCGGGCGGCUCCCAGAAGCUACACCCACCCAGUUUGACCUCGGAUCAGGUAGGGAUACCCGCUGAACUUAAGC
RNAcentral lists this unclassified non-coding RNA (305 nucleotides) under plant metagenome. RNAcentral describes it as "partial contains 5.8S ribosomal RNA, internal transcribed spacer 2, and large subunit ribosomal RNA". The stretch from base 1 to 105 matches the Rfam family "5.8S ribosomal RNA", at positions 50 to 154 of the family's 154-position model. The record is from RNAcentral.